AUUGAACGCUGGCGGCAGGCCUAACACAUGCAAGUCGAACGGUAACAGGAAGCAGCUUGCUGCUUCGCUGACGAGUGGCGGACGGGUGAGUAAUGUCUGGGAAGCUGCCUGAUGGAGGGGGAUAACUACUGGAAACGGUAGCUAAUACCGCAUAAUGUCGCAAGACCAAAGAGGGGGACCUUCGGGCCUCUUGCCAUCGGAUGUGCCCAGAUGGGAUUAGCUUGUUGGUGGGGUAACGGCUCACCAAGGCGACGAUCCCUAGCUGGUCUGAGAGGAUGACCAGCCACACUGGAACUGAGACACGGUCCAGACUCCUACGGGAGGCAGCAGUGGGGAAUAUUGCACAAUGGGCGCAAGCCUGAUGCAGCCAUGCCGCGUGUAUGAAGAAGGCCUUCGGGUUGUAAAGUACUUUCGGCGGGGAGGAAGGGAGUAAAGUUAAUACCUUGGCUCAUUGACGUUACCCGCAGAAGAAGCACCGGCUAACUCCGUG
This 490-nucleotide ribosomal RNA is filed under the name uncultured bacterium. RNAcentral's name for it is "partial 16S ribosomal RNA". It matches the Rfam family "Bacterial small subunit ribosomal RNA", at positions 30 to 507 of the family's 1533-position model. The record is from RNAcentral.